GACAGAGGCCUCAAGCGUUAGGCGGAAUCACUGGGCUUAAAGCGUGUGUAGGCGGAUCGUUAAGUACCUUGUGAAAUCCCACGGCUCACCCGUGGAACUGCUGGGUAUACUGGCGGUCUUGGGCCAACUAGGGGCAGCUGGAACAAGCGGUGGAGCGGUGAAAUGCGUAGAUAUCGCUUGGAACGCCGAAGGUGAAAACAGGCUGCUGGGGUUGUGCCGACGCUGAGACACGAAAGCCAGGGGAGCGAACGGG
Molecule: ribosomal RNA, 253 nt
Filed under: uncultured bacterium
Lineage: Bacteria
Description: partial 16S ribosomal RNA
Rfam family: Bacterial small subunit ribosomal RNA
Source: RNAcentral